AUCUUAUCUAAAAGAUAUCAAAAAGAGAACCAUUUGCAUUAUUUCUUUUUUAAAAAAAUAUUUUUUUAGUUGUAAAUGGACCUUUAUUUUAUUUGUUUAUUUAUUUAUUUAUAUGUGGUGCUGAGGACUGAAUCCAGAGCCUUACACAUGCCAGACAAGUACUCUAUCUCUGAGCCACAACUCCAGCCCACAUUAUUUCUUUUAUAUAUAUAUUUUUAGUUGUAGGUAGACACAAUACCUUUAUUUAUUUAUUUUUAUGUGGUGCUGAGGAUUGAACCCAGUACCUCCCAUGUGCUAGGCAAGUGCUCUAUCACUGUGAAACAACCCCAGCCCUAUUUGCAUUAUUUCUAUAAAAAGCAAUCUGUGAGCCUGGUGCAGUGUCUCACACCUAUAAUUCCAGCUACUUGGGAGGCUGAGGCAGGAGGACUGCAAGUUCAAGGUCAGCCUGGGUAACUUAGGAAGACCCUGUCUCAAAAAUAAAAAGAGAUUAGGGGAACAGUUUAGUAUAGCUCAGUGGUAGAAGGGUUGCCUAGCAUAGGUGAAGUUCUAGGUUCAAUUUCUAGUACCAUACAAAACCAACAAAAGAAAAGCAAGAUGUUUGAUUAUGAAGAUAAUAAAAUAUGUCCAGUUUCCACACACAAAAAAAGGUUUUUGGCAAAUAGUUGACACAUGUAAGUAAUCUUAGAGGAGAUAAAGAUGAGUACCAGAACAAAGUAAUGUGAUAAUUCAGUGUACAUGUUGAUGACAGUUUUGGAAACAAGGAAAGUAAUACUGAGAAAGAAAAAGCUAAGAUGGAUGGACAGAGGAAAGAAAAACAAAGUCACCUGGGUGCAGGAAAGCACACAGUGUUGAGAGACAGACCAAAAAUGUCCUUUUGGGCAAAUGAAUUUUUAUGGAAAAUCAGGAAAGAAAGGCUAAUACCAGGUAUAGAUCUUUGCCAAGAUGAGAAUGGUGUCUUAAAUAUAUUGGAGGCACAUGAAAGAGGACUUCUAAGUCCUUGCUUGGCAGGAGUGAAUAAAUUGGAUGAAUUGGCAUAAAGGAUGAGGGACACUGAGAUUCUGACGUCUUAAGGUAGUGAGGGUUCAAGGUUGAGUCGUGGAGAAGUAUAAUUUUAAAAUAGUAAAUUGAGAAGUGAGAAUUGAGCUGAUUUGGGUGAGAGAAAAUGAAAUGUGUUUGAAAUACAAGCAGUAUAUUCAGGUUGAAAUAUUUAAAAGAGCUUUGAAAUUAGGUGUAGUCCUUGAGAAAGGGCCUCAAAAGAUGGUACAAUGUGUGGCCCAGGUUACCAGCAUCAGCUCUGAAGUGAGAUUACCAAGGUUCAAGAACUGGCUUGACCACUUCCUAGUCCUUGUGAUUUUGAGCAAACUUUCUAACCUCUCCAAGUCUUGGUUUCCAUACUUAUAAAAGUGUAGUAGACAUUUUAGCAACUGUUAUUUGUGAUUCAUUUACAUGGAGAUGGUAGUGAAAGUGGUGCUGGUGAAUAAGAUCACAGUGGAGAAUGGGAAGGAAAAGAGGGUUGAAGAGGGUGGUGUGGAGAAAUGCAGCGAUUAAUGGGUGAAAGGAGAAAGUAAGGUCAAAUUAAAAGAAAUGGAAGGGUAUAUAUCAGGAAGGUAGGAGGAAAGUAGGAUAUCACAGCACUUUGAACUGUGAAGGAGGUAAUUUUCACAAAGGAGAGGGUGGCAGAGUAACAUUCAUUGUUGUAGAUAGGUAGAGAGAAAUGAAGAUCAAUAUUCAGGAGUUUUUAGGACAGAGUCAUGAGACCAGUAAUCUAAUGUUUAUCUUCACAACCUUGGAACCUAGCACAUUGCAUAAAAUGUAAUGUGUUUAAUAAAUAUUUGUUGAAUGGAUGGAGAAUAAAUGACUAUUUCUUGGGAUUAAGGAAAAAAUGCACAUAACCUGCAAAAGCUUGCAGGAGAUAGACAUAUAAUAUGAGAAUAUUAGAGAUUAUCCCAAUCAAGGAAGUUAACCAGGAUAAAUAAAACUGAAGUUUAUUUGUAGAAAAGGAAAAAAAAAUAAGUAAGGAAAAUACACAUAAUUUGAGAAAGAGCGUAAAAUAUUUUGGGGCAAAGUCCUAGAACAGAUAGGGGAUGAAUGGAAGUGUAAGAACAGUUUGGGAAAGACAUUCUUUUUCUCCAGGGACAGCAGGAUGGUGAGAAGAUGGUGCAUGUAUUGAGAGGUUUCCUGUGGAGCAGAGAACUGUAAUAGCUGAAAAUAGGACAAGUGGAAGUGAUGUUGACAGUUUUGAGAUUUGGUAUGGUCUUUGGGGAUUGUAGAAGAGAGUCAACCAAAGGCAUUAUGCAGUGGUGUUAACCUGAAUGAUUUGCAGGUGCAGUUAAUAGGACCUUGAAUUUGGCACUGAAGUGUCCAGAGAGGGCUCUUGCCACAGUGUAGCAAGGUAACUGUAGGGAAUCUGGCAUUUUAAAAAUAUUUCAGGAGAAAGAGAUUUCUCUUUUUGUUUUUCCCCUUACAUUAUUUCCCCUCGGUUCAUAAAUCUAAUAAGUGAGAAUAAAGCAGCUGCAAUUUAAAUUUAAAGUGGGUAAUAGCAGAAGCCCUUGCUGUUAUUCUUUUAUGUUAUUUCCAGUUUGCAUCUAGCAAGAGAGAUGAAGCAGGGAGGUGGUUAGAAAAUAUAAAAUUGGUAAUUUUUUUUUCUCCAGGAGUAACUACUAAAAUGGUAUCAUUCUGGAAUGUUUUUACCUGAAAGCAAAGUCUGGGAGAUCUUUUAUUAACAAUCUAAAUUAGCUAUUUCUUUUUCUAUUCAAUUUCAUUCAAUUUCUCUUUAUAUACAAAGGAUAUAAAGGCAGCUUUUGAUAAUUCAGGUUUGUGCAUAAUUUUAUUAGUAGAGAAAAAUAUUAUUGCAGAUUGGAAAUGGGCAUUAAAUAUGAGAAAAGACAAAAGAUAGCCAGAAUGAAUCCACUUAUGUCUGUUCUGAUAUUUCUUGGAUCUUGCUUACUUUCUUACUGUUUCUCUCUAGUUCAGUAGCUACAAUGAUAAGAACAUUGGGUUUGGUAGGUUUUACCAAAAUUAUUGGUAUCCUUAAAUAUCUUUUUUUAAAGUCUGUGUCCCUUUUCAGAGUUCCCUACAAAGGCUUAUUUUGCUCCCUGAGAAAAGUGAUGAAAGCCAAGGAUUGUUAUUGUAGUAGAUGUGAUUGGGAUGUGUUGUUUUUAGUUUUUACAGAAAAUGUUUUUAAUGUUCCCUAUGCGAUUUUCCAUCCCCCCUUUGGUAUUUCUAUUAAUGUUUAAUAUUUAAUUAUUGCUACUUUUCCCUCCCUCUAUCAACCCAUUUCUCAGAAUCAAAACAAUAUCUUAAGAAUUUUUGUUCUAGAAAAAAAGGUAUUUUCAAUAUACUUUUCCCAGUUCACCACUGCUCUUGAAGUAUAUGGGAGACAUAAAAGUGGCAGUAGAAAUAGGAUAUAUUUUGGAGAAAGAAAAUAUAAGAGAUGCUGAUUGAAAGAUAGUGGUGUGAGGAAAAGUAAGGAGACAUGACUUCCAUAUUUGUAGCUAAAUUAGAUAUAUGAUGGUGGUGCUGUAACUGAGGUGGAGAAAAUGAGUAGAGUCAAAUUGGGAUGGGAAAUCAAAGAGUCUGGUGUAAUAAAUCUUAUAUUUAUCAUCUCUCAAAGUAAUCCCUUACCUAUUAGUAGCUAUUCUACUUUCUUACCUUUCCUCUUCUCCCCCCAACUCCGGG
RNAcentral lists this long non-coding RNA (3678 nucleotides) under Marmota monax (woodchuck). Lineage: Eukaryota; Metazoa; Chordata; Mammalia; Rodentia; Sciuridae. The record is from RNAcentral.